Molecule: ribosomal RNA, 506 nt
Filed under: uncultured Actinomycetes bacterium
Lineage: Bacteria; Bacillati; Actinomycetota; Actinomycetes
Description: bacterial SSU rRNA
Rfam family: Bacterial small subunit ribosomal RNA
Source: RNAcentral
CGAAAGCCUGACGCAGCAACGCCGCGUGCGGGAUGACGGCCUUCGGGUGUAAACCGCUUUCAGCAGGGACGAAUUUUGACGGUACCUGCAGAAGAAGCCCCGGCCAACUACGUGCCAGCAGCCGCGGUAACACGUAGGGGGCGAGCGUUGUCCGGAUUUAUUGGGCGUAAAGAGCUCGUAGGCGGCUCGGUAAGUCAACUGUGAAAGCUCCGGGCUCAACUCGGAGAGGCCAGUUGAUACUGCUGUGGCUAGAGUCCGGUAGGGGAGCGUGGAAUUCCUGGUGUAGCGGUGAAAUGCGCAGAUAUCAGGAGGAACACCAGCGGCGAAGGCGGCGCUCUGGGCCGGAACUGACGCUGAGGAGCGAAAGCGUGGGUAGCAAACAGGAUUAGAUACCCUGGUAGUCCACGCCGUAAACGUUGGGCACUAGGUGUGGGUCUCAACCAACGAGAUCCGUGCCGUCGCUAACGCAUUAAGUGCCCCGCCUGGGGAGUACGGCCGCAAGGCUA